UACAGAGGUCUCAAGCGUUGUUCGGAUUCAUUGGGCGUAAAGGGUGCGUAGGCGGCGCGGUAAGUCGGGUGUGAAAUCUCGGAGCUUAACUCCGAAACUGCAUUCGAUACUGCGGUGCUUGAGGACUGGAGAGGAGACUGGAAUUCAUGGUGUAGCAGUGAAAUGCGUAGAGAUCAUGAGGAAGACCAGUGGCGAAGGCGGCAUCCUGGACCGAUACUGACGCUGAGGAGCGAAAGCCAGGGGAGCAAACGGG
This 253-nucleotide ribosomal RNA is filed under the name uncultured bacterium. Its description in RNAcentral is "partial 16S ribosomal RNA". It matches the Rfam family "Bacterial small subunit ribosomal RNA", at positions 524 to 776 of the family's 1533-position model. The record is from RNAcentral.